GUUGCUGCCAAACAGAAGUGCAAACAAGCAUGCUGUGCAAACCUCCCUAACAAGUGCAGCUUGCAGCGCUGCCCUUCAACCAGCCAACUCUUCACAUCUUAGCUCUUCUGGACUGGACCAUGUUGAAAUCCACAAAAAACUAAACAUGGCAAAGGAUACAUUCCAAGCAUGUGGUAGAGGGGGCACGUCAUGGUCAGCCAUGAUUAAGGAUUUAGCCGUGGCUGUUUUUGGAAGGAGCAUGUUAGCUACCCACAGCCUUUCUGGAAAAAUUGGAAAUGCCAACAAGGAAUCACAAGCCAAGCCCCCUCUGGACCCCACAAAAGUGGAACUUAUUAUAGACACUGUUUCGAAGAAAUUUCCAGAAACUCCACGAAAGUUUCUUCGGGCUGCUUUACGGGAAAAAUUGAAUGAUGAACAUAAACUCCUUAGCAGGCAUCAUAAGAAGGACACUGUUACGCUGCAACACUGAGUGGUGAAGCACAUAAGAGAGUCCAGAGUUAUUGGUUUCUGAAGAAUGAUGGGCCACGUUCUGUUCAGAGUGUUCAUUUUCGUCACACUUAUCUCAUUUUAUCUUUAAGCUCUUUUGACUAAUAAAUAAUUCACAAUUAA
Molecule: long non-coding RNA, 609 nt
Organism: Onychostoma macrolepis
Lineage: Eukaryota; Metazoa; Chordata; Actinopteri; Cypriniformes; Cyprinidae
Exons: 5
Source: RefSeq, a predicted model, not a curated record